AGUGAACGCUGGCGGUAGGCCUAACACAUGCAAGUCGAACGGCAGCACAGUAAGAGCUUGCUCUUACGGGUGGCGAGUGGCGGACGGGUGAGGAAUACAUCGGAAUCUACUUUUUCGUGGGGGAUAACGUAGGGAAACUUACGCUAAUACCGCAUACGACCUACGGGUGAAAGCAGGGGAUCUUCGGACCUUGCGCGAUUGAAUGAGCCGAUGUCGGAUUAGCUAGUUGGCGGGGUAAAGGCCCACCAAGGCGACGAUCCUUAGCUGGUCUGAGAGGAUGAUCAGCCACACUCGAUCUGAGACACGGUCCAGACUCCUACGGGAGGCAGCAGUGGGGAAUAUUGGACGAUGGGCGCAAGCCUGAUCCAGCCCUACCGCGUGGGUGAAGCAGCCCUUCCGGUUGUCAAGCCCUUUUGUUGGGAAAGAAAAGCAGCAGGUUAAUACCCCGCUGUUCUGACGGUACCCAAAGAAUAAGCACCGGCUAACUUCGUG
Molecule: ribosomal RNA, 492 nt
Filed under: uncultured bacterium
Lineage: Bacteria
Description: partial 16S ribosomal RNA
Rfam family: Bacterial small subunit ribosomal RNA
Source: RNAcentral